This 708-nucleotide long non-coding RNA is filed under the name Mytilus galloprovincialis (Mediterranean mussel). Lineage: Eukaryota; Metazoa; Mollusca; Bivalvia; Mytilida; Mytilidae. The record is from RNAcentral.
CCUUAAAUCUGCAUCUAGGGCAAGCUGGGGCUUCAUAUUAAAAAUAAUGUAUAAUAAAAUAGGUAUACAUCUAUAAAGCAUGAUAGGCAAAUUCAAAAUGAGAAGCCAUUUUUUCCAUGUGGGAACUACUUUCAUCAUGUUCAUAAAAAGUAUGGAGGACCACACCUGUAAAGAUACUAUUGGACAUACACAUACCAUUUUCAACAUACAGAUAGCAUGGCAUUAAAAUUAUAACAAAUUCAGUGCUAAAAAUAUUUAUUAUAAUAAAUUUCACUUAAUUCAAUAACAGGAUGUAAAAAUAUAUCAUAUCACAAGUAAAAAAGGGGGGAUUGACUAACCAUAAGGUAAAAUUUAUGUUAGAUCAAAUACAUCUAUUCUCUGGUUCUCUCUUUUUUUCUUAGAUAGAAAAUUGAACAUUGAGUUUUGAUCUGUACUUUUUCAGUUUCCUCUCCUGAAUAAAUGGAAGAAUUAAAAAAAAAACCAACAUUACUAUCUUUUUCUUCAAUGAAUAAAAAUAAAAACAUAAAUUCAUUUUUUCAAAUUAGUUCAACAAGUUUUCAGACUGAUUUAAAUUUUGUUUGCAAGGCUAUAUAGAAAUGAGGGAUACCCAUAUAUUUUUUGGAAUCCUGGUUAUCAAAACAGAAAGGAAAAAAUAUACAUGUAGAGUGACAUACAGGUACAAGAUUGUAAUGGAAAAGAAAAAUUCAC